UGGCCUUGGGAUAGGCAAUAGUUUUUUAUGUACAAAACUAAAAGAAGCGACAAAAGAAAAAGAAAUAGUGCUUCCUUAAAAAUAACUUUUUUCUUUUUAUGUGUAUGCGUGUGUUGCCUGCAUGUAUAUCUGGGUACCACGUGUAAACAGUGUGCACAAAGGCCAGAAGAGGUCAUCUGAUCUUCUGGGCCUGGAGUUACAGAAGUUUAUGAGUCAUCAUGUGAGUCCUGGGUAUUGAACCUGGGUCCUCUAGAAGAGUAGCCAGUGCUGUUGCUUGCUGAGCCAUCUUUCCAGCUCGUACUUCUUCCCUUCUUAGUAGAACAGCAUUUAAGGUGAGUGGAUGGAGGCACUGAAGAGAUGGCUCAUCAGUUAAGAGUGUGUGCUGCUGCUGCUGUUGCAGAGGACCUAGGUUUGUCUCAAUGCUCUCACAUCAGGAGGUUCCCUACCUCUUAUAAGUCCAGUUAUGGAGAUCAGAGAGUCUCUGGCCUCCACAGGCAUGUGUACUCAUGCGUAUGGAGCAUAUGCACUUAUGUAUACGUACAGACAUACUUAUGUAUACACACACAGAGAUAAAAAUAAUCUUGAGAAAGGUGGAUAGACAGAUAGUAGGAAAAAAAUGCCUUGCAAAUUCUUGGUAGGUUUUUCUUUUUUUUUGUUUUGAGUUGGGGGGUCUCACUAUGUAGUUCUGGCUGGUUUGGAACUUGCAAUGUAGACCAGGCUGUCCUCAAACUCAGUUUGCCUGCUUCUGCUUCCCGAGUGCUGGGAUUAAAGGAGUGCCUUAAAAGUAGCAGGUGUUUUUAAAUUAUAGAACAAGUAAAGCUAUGUGACAUUUUGUAAAAAGCCUUUAAUUUCAAAUCUCCAUAUUAAUUGUAUAAAAAUAAACUAUAUUAUGUAUUUCUCUCUUGUUUUUUGCUUUCAGUGAUGUUCUUUGUUACCUGGUUAAAUGGUUCACUUUCACUUAUUUGUAACUUAUUAUUGUUGUUGAUGUGUGUGUGGUAAUGCACACGUGUGUGUGUGUGUGUGUGUGUGUGUGUGUGUGUGUGUGGUGCCAGGGGAGGAUGCCUGGUGCCUGCUCUCACUCUCCACCUUCUUCCUCUGAAGCACCGUCUCUUGUUGAGCCAGCCAGCAAACCCCAGGCAUCUUCCUAUUGUCACCUCCUGUAGUGCUGAAGUCACAGGCACAAAGCCAUACCAGUCAUUUUUAACAGGGAUGCUAGGGAUUUGAACUCAGGUCUUCAUGCUUGCACACUAAACGCUCUGACCCCAUGAGUUGUCUUCCCAGACCUUUUCUUGUUUUCAUUUAUUUCAACUUUAAGUCUCUGUCUUUAACACUAUAAUUUUCCCCACCGUUUCAUCCUCGCAGGCAUAGAAAAAGGGUCAUGUGACGACACUAGAACGUAGUUUUCUAUCAGGUUGCAGAGAAUGCAUUUCUUGGUAAAAGUGCGUCAGGCUUGGGUUCUCUACAUUUGAUAACCAAUUAUUAUAGGAACCGCCAUUCUGUUCAUUUGUAGAACAGCAUGCUGGCAAGGAAGGAAAUGCAACCAUGGGCGUGCCAUCUUGUGAGGAGAGGAAGUGGACAGAUUAUCUGUGUGUUGGUAUGGACAGUAGUGUAUGUUCAGACCACAAGACUUUAAAAGGCAUUUUUAUAGCUCUUAGGCUAACCCUGUGGCGUGUAAGCAUUAUGCUUCAUACAGUAUGAGCCUAUCGAAACCAUUCGGUGCUCAUUCUCUUUAGAGAGUGAGGUUCUGUUUGGUUUCCUCUUGGUCUUAUUCUGCGACAUCUCAGGCAUUGGCUCGUAUACUUUCUUUAUUCUUUGGAGACAGACUCUCACUCUGUACCCAGAGCACCUGAACUUGAAGUCUAGCAUGCUAGCAGGCCCAGCUACAUUUUAAAAUGUUUUGUACCUUUUUUCAGUUUCUUGAUGUGCUUUUUAUUUCUGUGUGUUUUGCAUAUGAUUUACUCAUUUUAUGUAUUAAUCUCAUUUUGGUAUUAGUAGGAUUGAUGUCUUGAAACAGUUCCUUUUAGUCCUCUGUCUCCCCUGACCUCUCUUCUAAUUCAGGGAAUUGAUCAUUCUUUCCUUUGCCAAUUGUUUUUUUGUUUUUUUUUUUCCUUUAAAGUUAAUAUGUAACUAUUUGUUUGAGAUUACCUUUACUUUUUUCCUUUUCAAGUCAAAUGUUUAAAAAAGUAUAAUUCCUAAUUCCCAUGCCUUUUGUUGACUUAGUUGUUCAUGUUUCUCAACCAUUAUUUUUCCCCAAAUAUACUAUGAAAAAGUUUUAAACUAUACAGAAAAGUUGCAAUAGUUGAUAGCUGUAACUGAGUGCAGUGAACCUGGUGUCUGACUCCCUUGCUCAGUCUUUGUUGUUGCAUACAUUAGUAGCAGAUGCUGUUGCAUGCAUUAGUAGCAGAUGCUUGUACAUUCAAACACUACCAUUUUAGCUUGCACAUCAUUAACUGAGUUUCAAAUUUGUAUAGCAAUCUUUUUUUUUCUUUUGGGGCAAAAUUUACUUAGAAAAAAAAUGCAGAGAUUUUCAGUGUGCUGUUGAAUGAUUUCUUUAGCUCUAUUUUUGUGUAGAGUAGCUGCCUUCUCUAAGGAGACUGAAAACUGUAAAGCCCCAAACCAUCCCCACACUCAUGUAUUCCUCUACAUCCUCAGGAGGCUUCAAAUGUGCAUCAUAAAGUGCUCUACAGAUUCCAUUCCCCUUUUCAUUGUACAAAUGCUUUUCAC
RNAcentral lists this long non-coding RNA (2724 nucleotides) under Mus musculus (house mouse). RNAcentral's name for it is "long non-coding RNA chr9:111136785-111139509". The record is from RNAcentral. Lineage: Eukaryota; Metazoa; Chordata; Mammalia; Rodentia; Muridae.